GGGCCACAAAGUGGAAACACAGUUACUAGUACAACUGUUGCUAGCCAGUGGUCUAAAUGAGUUACUCCAGGUUGCAGUCAACACAAGCUAAGGACACUCACUACAUGUAUAUACUACAACAACACAGCAUUGGAACACACCCCUCACCCCGGAGAUAAAGCCAGUAUCCAUUUGUAAAAACAAAAUAUUCCCUUACAACGGAAGUUGCCACAAUCCAUGGUAAUCCAUGGUAUAAAAGAAGGAAGUCAGCUCCACAACUGCUAUAUACAACUGUUGCUAGCCAGUGGUCAGUCAGUGUAAAUGAGUUACUCCAGGUUGCAAGCUAAGGAUACCACUACCAACACAGCAUUGAAACACACAUCCUCCCAAGAGAAAGAUCGCUAAAUGAAUUCACAUACCUUGAAGCCUUUUGUGUGCAGUAACGAUCAUCCUGGAAUAAUGGACACGACCUCAACACAACCAUCGAUAGAGCUAGAGCUAGAGCCAGAGCCAUCCAAAGAAGCAGAAGAUGGAUCCA
Halichondria panicea is the source of this 517-nucleotide long non-coding RNA. RefSeq lists it as uncharacterized. NCBI's taxonomy places the organism in Eukaryota, Metazoa, Porifera, Demospongiae, Suberitida, Halichondriidae. The record is from RefSeq and is a predicted model, not a curated record. The transcript has 3 exons.